RNAcentral lists this unclassified non-coding RNA (242 nucleotides) under uncultured fungus. Its description in RNAcentral is "partial contains 5.8S ribosomal RNA, internal transcribed spacer 2, and large subunit ribosomal RNA". Lineage: Eukaryota; Fungi. The record is from RNAcentral.
AACGCACAUUGCGCCCUUUGGCACUCCGAAGGGCACGCCUGUUCGAGCGUCAUUUCACCCAUCAAGCCUGGCUUGGUAUUGGGCGCCGCGGCGCCCGCGCGCCCCAAAGUUUCGUCGGCUCGACCGUCCGCUCCAUAGCGUCGUGGCAUUUUGUUUCGCUGACGGGGUGAGGGCGGCCGACGCCGUUAAACGUUUCCAUUGAGGUUGACCUCGGAUCAGGUGGGGAUACCCGCUGAACUUAA